This 642-nucleotide long non-coding RNA is filed under the name Hordeum vulgare. Its description in RNAcentral is "long non-coding RNA (HVUL_LNC020883)". Lineage: Eukaryota; Viridiplantae; Streptophyta; Magnoliopsida; Poales; Poaceae. The record is from RNAcentral.
GUGAGCACGAGCGGCGGGUCGCGGAAGGCGCCGACGGAGGCGAAGCUCAAGGUGGCGAUCAACGGGUUCGGGCGCAUCGGGCGCAACUUCCUGCGGUGCUGGCACGGGCGCGGCGACAGCUCGCCGCUGGAGGUGAUCGCCAUCAACGACACCGGAGGCGUGAAGCAGGCGUCCCACCUCCUCAAGUACGACUCCACGCUGGGCAUCUUCGACGCGGACGUCAAGCCCGUGGGCGACAACGCCAUCUCCGUCGACGGCAAGGUGAUCAAGGUCGUGUCCGACCGCAACCCCUCCAACCUGCCGUGGGGCGAGAUGGGCAUCGACCUCGUCAUCGAGGGCACCGGCGUCUUCGUCGACCGCGCCGGCGCGGGCAAGCAUCUCGAGGCCGGAGCCAAGAAGGUGCUCAUCACCGCGCCCGGCAAGGGCGACAUCCCCACCUACGUCUGCGGCGUCAACGCCGACCUCUACACCCACGCCGACACCAUCAUCAGCAACGCCUCAUGCACCACCAACUGCCUCGCCCCCUUCGUCAAGGUCCUCGACCAAAAGUUCGGUACGUGCCCGUCUCCCUCCCUCUCUCUCUCUCUCAACUGAAUCAACUUGUUGACGAUGACUAAUGGCGGCGGUGGCAAUGGCGCAGGC